GUUGAGAUAUUGUACCUUCGUACGAGCUCAAAGGAACAGGGAAGAGAGGUUAGAUGUGUAAGAGCAACAGCGCUGAGCUUCUGCUGAUCCCUCACGUCAGAAUCCCAACAGCAAAAGCACAUCUUUGGUGGCACAUCUUUGGCGAGUACUUUCUAGUAUUUCUAAGUACUUCCGCGAGAAUUAAUUAUGACAGUUGAUUAUUGGGUUGAUUUAAAAUCUGAACCCGUUCCCCGCUAAGGCGCUAACUCGCCCGCGUCUCCUUCCCCGACCUACUCUCCUGCUUGACUCCCUCUGCAUCGCCCGCUCG
This 307-nucleotide long non-coding RNA is filed under the name Brachypodium distachyon (stiff brome). RNAcentral's name for it is "long non-coding RNA (BDIS_LNC005752)". The record is from RNAcentral. Lineage: Eukaryota; Viridiplantae; Streptophyta; Magnoliopsida; Poales; Poaceae.